GGGGUAAUGGUUUAGUGGUAUAAUGCUCGUUUUGGGUACGAGUGGUCCGGGGUUCGAUUCCCCGUUACCCCC
Molecule: non-coding RNA, 72 nt
Organism: Zophobas morio
Lineage: Eukaryota; Metazoa; Arthropoda; Insecta; Coleoptera; Tenebrionidae
Source: the annotation of a RefSeq genome assembly